Molecule: ribosomal RNA, 252 nt
Filed under: uncultured bacterium
Lineage: Bacteria
Description: partial 16S ribosomal RNA
Rfam family: Bacterial small subunit ribosomal RNA
Source: RNAcentral
ACGUAGGGAGCAAGCGUUGUCCGGAUUCACUGGGUGUAAAGGGUGCGCAGGUGGGCUGGUAAGUCAGUGGUGAAAUCUCACGGCUCAACCGUGAAAUUGCCUUUGAUACUGCCAGUCUUGAGUUCGGGAGAGGUUGAUGGAAUUCCAGGUGUAGCGGUGGAAUGCGUAGAUAUCUGGAAGAACACCAGUUGCGAAGGCGGUCAACUGGCCCGUAACUGACGCUCAGGCACGAAAGCGUGGGUAGCGAACAGG